Molecule: long non-coding RNA, 305 nt
Filed under: Carica papaya (papaya)
Lineage: Eukaryota; Viridiplantae; Streptophyta; Magnoliopsida; Brassicales; Caricaceae
Description: long non-coding RNA (CPAP_LNC007474)
Source: RNAcentral
AAAGGCCUCAUCGGAGGCAAAAAUUAAGGAGGGACGCGGCGGCGCCGCUGGGUUUCAGUCGUGUUUUCCGGCUGUUUGGCCGGGAGUUUGGCUCUGAUUUGGCCACAGGGGAACUCAACAUUGAAAAAUGAGCUGGGGGUAUGAAAUUUACCUUGAUCAGCGGUCGGAAAACUCCCCAGUGCGGCGACGGGUGGCGGCGGCCGGCUCCUCCGGUGUCUGGUUCGUCUUCUCCGACGAGAGCUGGCGGCUAGGGUUUUUGUGGUUAGGUGUGGGGGGUUUAUUUAUACCCUUUGCCUUUUAAUCAC